This 468-nucleotide ribosomal RNA is filed under the name uncultured bacterium. Its description in RNAcentral is "partial 16S ribosomal RNA". It matches the Rfam family "Bacterial small subunit ribosomal RNA", at positions 28 to 507 of the family's 1533-position model. The record is from RNAcentral.
GACGAACGCUGGCGGCGUGCUUAACACAUGCAAGUCGAACGGAAAGGCCCUGCUUUUGUGGGGUGCUCGAGUGGCGAACGGGUGAGUAACACGUGAGUAACCUGCCCUUGACUUUGGGAUAACUUCAGGAAACUGAGGCUAAUACCGGAUAGGAGCUCCUGCUGCAUGGUGGGGGUUGGAAAGUUUCGGCGGUUGGGGCUGGACUCGCGGCUUAUGAGCUUGUUGGUGGGGUAGUGGCUUACCAAGGCUUUGACGGGUAGCCGGCCUGAGAGGGUGACCGGCCUCCUGGGGACUGCGAUACGGCCCAGUCGCCUACGGUAGGCAGCAGUGGGGAAUAUUGCACAAUGGGCGGAAGCCUGAUGCAGCAACGCCGCGUUCGGGAUGACGUCCUUCGGGUUGUAAACCGCUUUCGCCUGUGACGAAGCGUGAGUGACGGUAAUGGGUAAAGAAGCACCGGCUAACUACGUG